AACGAACGCUGGCGGCAUGCCUAACACAUGCAAGUCGAACGAAACCUUCGGGUCUUGUGGCGCACGGGUGCGUAACGCGUGGGAACCUUCCCUUAGGUUCGGAAUAACUCCCCGAAAGGGGUGCUAAUACCGGAUAAUGUCUUCGGACCAAAGAUUUAUCGCCUUUGGAUGUUCCCGCGUUGGAUUAGCUAGUUGGUAGGGUAAAAGCCUACCAAGGCGACGAUCCAUAGCUGGUCUGAGAGGAUGAUCAGCCACACUGGGACUGAGACACGGCCCAGACUCCUACGGGAGGCAGCAGUGGGGAAUAUUGGACAAUGGGCGAAAGCCUGAUCCAGCAAUGCCGCGUGAGUGAUGAAGGCCUUAGGGUUGUAAAGCUCUUUUAACCGGGAUGAUAAUGACAGUACCGGGAGAAUAAGCUCCGGCUAACUCCGUG
Molecule: ribosomal RNA, 433 nt
Filed under: uncultured bacterium
Lineage: Bacteria
Description: partial 16S ribosomal RNA
Rfam family: Bacterial small subunit ribosomal RNA
Source: RNAcentral